UGGGGAAUAUUGCACAAUGGGCGCAAGCCUGAUGCAGCCAUGCCGCGUGUGUGAAGAAGGCCUUCGGGUUGUAAAGCACUUUCAGCGAGGAGGAAGGUGGUGAGCUUAAUACGCUCAUCAAUUGACGUUACUCGCAGAAGAAGCACCGGCUAACUCCGUGCCAGCAGCCGCGGUAAUACGGAGGGUGCAAGCGUUAAUCGGAAUUACUGGGCGUAAAGCGCACGCAGGCGGUUUGUUAAGUCAGAUGUGAAAUCCCCGGGCUCAACCUGGGAACUGCAUUUGAAACUGGCAAGCUAGAGUCUCGUAGAGGGGGGUAGAAUUCCAGGUGUAGCGGUGAAAUGCGUAGAGAUCUGGAGGAAUACCGGUGGCGAAGGCGGCCCCCUGGACGAAGACUGACGCUCAGGUGCGAAAGCGUGGGGAGCAAAACAGGAUUAGAUAUCCUGGUAGUCCACGCUGUAAACGAUGUCGAUUUUGGAGGUUGUGCCCUUGAGGCGUGGCUUCCGGAGCUAACGCGUUAAAGUCGA
This 524-nucleotide ribosomal RNA is filed under the name uncultured bacterium. RNAcentral's name for it is "partial 16S ribosomal RNA". It matches the Rfam family "Bacterial small subunit ribosomal RNA", at positions 355 to 868 of the family's 1533-position model. The record is from RNAcentral.